GAUGAAGAACGUAGUGAAAUGCGAUACUUGGUGUGAAUUGCAGAAUCCCGCGAAUCAUCGAGUUUUUGAACGCAAGUUGCGCCCGAAGCCAUUCGGCCGAGGGCACGUCUGCCUGGGUGUCACGCAUCGUUGCCCCCCCAAACUUCGGUUCGGGCGGGGCAGAAGUUGGCCUCCCGUGCGUGCCUGCGCGUGCGGUUAGCCCAAAAGCGAGUCCUCGACGACGAGCGCCACGAAAAUCGGUGGUUUUUUUGCCCUCGUUCCUCGUCGUGCGUGCCCCGUCGCCCGAACGCGCUCUUGCGACCCUCACGCGUCGCCUCGGUGGCGCUCCCAACGCGACCCCAGGUCAGGCGGGACUACCCGCUGAGUUUAAGCAUAUCAAUAAGCGGAGGA
RNAcentral lists this unclassified non-coding RNA (390 nucleotides) under soil metagenome. RNAcentral's name for it is "partial contains 5.8S ribosomal RNA, internal transcribed spacer 2, and large subunit ribosomal RNA". The stretch from base 1 to 122 matches the Rfam family "5.8S ribosomal RNA", at positions 35 to 154 of the family's 154-position model. The record is from RNAcentral.